AGCGAACGCUGGCGGCAGGCCUAACACAUGCAAGUCGAACGAACCUUUCGGGGUUAGUGGCGGACGGGUGAGUAACACGUGGGAACGUGCCUUUAGGUUCGGAAUAACUCAGGGAAACUUGUGCUAAUACCGAAUGUGCCCUUCGGGGGAAAGAUUAAUCGCCUUUAGAGCGGCCCGCGUCUGAUUAGCUAGUUGGUUGAGGUAAUGGCUCACCAAGGCGACGAUCAGUAGCUGGUCUGAGAGGAUGAUCAGCCACAUUGAGACUGAGACACGGCCCAAACUCCUACGGGAGGCAGCAGUGGGGAAUCUUGCGCAGUGGGCGAAAGCCUGACGCAGCCAUGCCGCGUGAAUGAUGAAGGUCUUAGGAUUGUAAAAUUCUUUCACCGGGGACGAUAAUGACGGUACCCGGAGAAGAAGCCCCGGCUAACUUCGUG
RNAcentral lists this ribosomal RNA (434 nucleotides) under uncultured bacterium. RNAcentral's name for it is "partial 16S ribosomal RNA". It matches the Rfam family "Bacterial small subunit ribosomal RNA", at positions 29 to 507 of the family's 1533-position model. The record is from RNAcentral.